Molecule: ribosomal RNA, 1137 nt
Filed under: Triticum aestivum (bread wheat)
Lineage: Eukaryota; Viridiplantae; Streptophyta; Magnoliopsida; Poales; Poaceae
Description: partial small subunit ribosomal RNA
Source: RNAcentral
CAGCAACGCAGCACCAUGCCGCCGGCGGGGCCUGCCUUCCCACUCCACAGCGACGACGUCCUCGCGGAGAUCUUCCUCCGCCUCGGCCCUCUGAAACCCUCGCUCCUGCGCGCGUCUCACGUGUGCAAGCAGUGGCGAACCCUCGUCUCCGACCCCGGUUUCCUACGCCGGUUCCGUGCGCGCCACCGGCAACCCUCGCUCCUCGGCGUCUUCACGCAGCAGCACGGAAAAGCUCUCUUCCGCUCUGUUGUCGACCCUCCUGUUAUUCCUUCAGAGCGCUUCUCCCUGCGAGGCUACGGCUCGUGGGAUCUGCUUGGGUGCCGCCAUGGACGCGUCCUCAUCAUGAACCACACUGAGGGGAAGGCCAUUGUGUACGACCCCGUUACCGGCGACCAGCACCACAUAGCAGUUCCUUGGGAGUUCCGUCAGAAUGACGUGGUUGCUAAUAUCAAUGGUGCGGUGCUCUGCACGGGCACGGCCGACAAUGCACGACACAUGCAUGGCGCGUGCCGCUCAAGCCCCUUUAAAAUCGUUUUGGUAGGCGCCAGUACGGUCUACAUAAAGCACGACGUGCUAGCGCUAGUCCAGGCAUGUAUUUACUCGUCAAAGACUGGCUCGUGGGGCAACAAUGUCUCCGUGGUGCAACCAUGUGACAACUACAUUGCUGGUCACCAUAGCAUCUUUGCAGGUAACGCCCUUUACUGGUAUAUUCCUGGCAGUAUAAUAAAGUUUGAUAUGGGCAUGAAGAGCCUACGUGUGAUUCGGAAACUUCCUGUUGCAAAAGAUUGCUACGAUACAAGCCAUAUUAUCCGCUCAAAGGAUGGCGGUGUUGGCAUUGCUUUAUUGUCAUACCCUACCUUUCAAGUGUGGGACAUGAAGAAUGUCAACAACAAAAUCAAUUCUCGUGGUGGAACUACAUGGGUGCCGCGGAAGCCUAUUAAUCUUCAGCUAGGAUGUGGGAGUGGUAUAAGGAUGAAGCAAGCUAUAGUGGGGUACGACGAGGACGGGCAUCAAAUCUUCUUUCGAGUGGGGAGCAACAUCUUCAUUGUCGAACUUGUAUCAAUGAAGUCCAGUAAACCUUGGAGAAGCUAUUCUACACGCAAAUAUCAUCCUUACACGUGUUACUAUACCGCAGGU